This is a long non-coding RNA of Chrysoperla carnea, 670 nucleotides long. RefSeq lists it as uncharacterized. NCBI's taxonomy places the organism in Eukaryota, Metazoa, Arthropoda, Insecta, Neuroptera, Chrysopidae. The transcript has 3 exons. The record is from RefSeq and is a predicted model, not a curated record.
AAUGUAUUUAAUAUAUAUUUUUUUACAACGCCCACUCGGGAAGUAGACUUUUCGAGCGCUGUAUGUCACCUUCAAAAUACACAAUAAUCGCAUACUUAACUAUAUGUGUUUCAUAAACGCACAUGUUCGGUUAUAGGUGUUUCAUAAACGCACAUGUUCGGUUAUAGACUACAUAAUUGUAUGUACUACUGACACGCCAUCUGUACUAAAAAAAAAUAAGUAAUCAAUCUUAACCCUCAUUUAUUAAAGUUACCACACUGAUUGUGUCAAACGCGAGUGUUACAUACAAAAAAACAAAAUUAAAAAUUGAAAUUAAAAUGAACGAGCAAUAAAAAUUUGUAUGCAAUAAAAUUUAAAUUUAAAAUAAGUAAAUAAAUCAUUUCUCAAAUUGAUAAAUUUCUCUCAAAGUCAACUUCCCGAGCGAUUGUUGUAAAAAGUAUUGAAUGCUACUUGCGGAAUAACUAGCAAAUAUGACAGUCGUGAUUACGGCAUUCGCUCUAAGGUUAUGAGACAUUCUUAUGAAGACUCGUGUGGUUGUCGCAACUCGCCUACGGCUCGUAGCGACAUCUACCACACUCGUCUUCAUAAGAAUGUCUCAUAACCUUACGCUCAUGCCGCAACACCACGACUGUCAGAUUAUUUGCUAGUUAUCCCACUUGUAGCAUUAAUA